GUGCUAAGGUAGCAUAAUCAUUUGCUACUUAAUUGGUAGCUGGAAUGAAAGGUUAAACUAGCUUAUUCAGUUUGUUGUGUUUUGUAAGAAAUUAAAGUCGAGGUAAGAAUUCUUUGAUCUGCUAGGGGACGAUAAGACCCUAGAAGCUUAACAAUAAGAGUAUUUAUUAGUUAUAAAAAUUAAUUUGUUUUACUGGGGCGGUAAAGGUAUAUUAACUAUUAGUGUAUUGAUAGAUCCUUAAAAUAAAGAUAAAACGGGAAAGUUACUCUAGGGGUAACAGUGCAAUAUUUUUGGAGAGAUCAUAUCGAUAAAAAUGUUUGCAACCUCGAUGUUGAAUUAAGAUGUCUACGUGAAGCAGCAGGUACGUGAGAGGGUUUGUUCAACCUUUAAAUUUUUACAUGAUCUGAGUUCAAACCG
RNAcentral lists this ribosomal RNA (417 nucleotides) under Gammarus sp. lacustris-type RG1_1. RNAcentral describes it as "partial 16S ribosomal RNA". It matches the Rfam family "Bacterial large subunit ribosomal RNA", at positions 1948 to 2618 of the family's 2925-position model. The record is from RNAcentral. Lineage: Eukaryota; Metazoa; Arthropoda; Malacostraca; Amphipoda; Gammaridae. RNAcentral also lists the same sequence under 14 other names.